UUCCUGAAAUACAGAAAAAUGGUAUCAUGAGACACCCUACAUCAAACAGUGCAAUUUCAGUUUGUCUAAGGGACUCUACACAGUGAUAAAAUCCACAAGUACAUGGGGAAUGCUAUUUGUUCCCAAGCCCCAUUUGGUCUCUUUCAACUUCAUUCUUGAUCGGUGUGGAUGCAAGACAAUCACAUAUGACAUUUCACAGAUUCGUGUCUGCUAAUGGUUUAGAGAAUGCUCACUUUUUAAAUAUGUAUUCAUAAAUAAAUCUAAAUAUAGACUACAGAUCUUAUUUCCCACUUUGGUUAAAAGUACACUUAAAGACCUGGUCUCUGCAUUCCCUAUGAAAAUAUAUUACCUGUAAUAUUAAGGAAAACUAACAUCUAUCUUUAAUAAUAUUUGAAGUAUCAUGCUAACAAUGAGACAUCUGAAAGACAUACUACAUUUGAACCUGGAAUUUUUAGGACAAGGAAAAUGAGAAAUGGAAAAUAUUUGCGAAAAUUCUUAGUGUGUUGGUUAUUUCAGGUUGAGUGUAAUAUAAUCAAUUUUCAGAACUCCUGCAUCCCUGUAAAAUAGUAGUAUUCAAUUUUCUGUGUAAUCUUUGGAAAACAAAAAAGAAAACCUGCCUGGCAGGCAAAGCAGCUAAUUUUUAUUCCUUUGGCCAAUGCUAAUUUCUAUGUUACAGGUAGGUCUGGAAAUAAAAAUGAUUUGAAGUUGAAUAUAUUCAAAGCUAUGGUUUACUUUUAUUCUUUCAAUUCCUCUAAAUUCAAUAUAUGAACUUCAUCCUCCAAAAGGUUACUGACUAUGCAGAACUUCAUUCCAUUUUCCCUCCUAAUUAUAAUAAUGACUGAACAUUAUUUUUAAAUAAUUUACUUGAAUGUCUGCAGAAACUGCUAGACUUACACAGCUUCAGAAGUGAAGCCAGAUAACUGAAACAGAGAAGUUCUAUGGAAGACAGAAGAACCCUGUCUAUGGAAGACAGAAAAACAGUGGAAGGUGAAAUGUGUAGGCUUGGCUUGACAUAACCAAUCUGGAUCAUGUCUACAAAGGAAACAAACUGCAUACAUUUCUGCUGCAAAAGAUAACAAACCCCACAACUUUUCAGUAGUGGAUAUCUAAGAAAUGAACCUCACUGGACAAAAAUUAUAAGAACUACGAAAGUCUGAGUUUCUGAAAUUGAAGAAGAGUUCCAGCUAGACCUUCCUAUUGUAAUCUGCAGUACGAAGCACCCUCAUGGACAAUGAUGAUAAGAAUAUGGGGAGAAAAGCAUUUGAUGGAUGAGUGUGAUUUUUACCUGGCAUGAUGGCAGCAUGUGAGCAAGGACAAUGCCAACAUGGCCCUGGAGAAGGCAGAAAAAGCAACAAGUUAACUCGGGUCCUUAAUGCUUUCUUCUCAUUCUGAGACAGCAGUCUUGCCAAAUAAAAACAUGACUCUGAAUGUAAUACAGUAAUGUCACAUAGUCGGGGGAAGGCUAAAGAGAAUAAGAGGAGAGACAUAAUACCCCGCCGCUGCAGAAAUCCACAAUUCUGUCACCGGGUUUGGCCUGACUUGUCACCACAUAAACAAGGUUGUUUAACUGCUGUUGCUUCCUUAAAGCUCGAUCACUGGACAUUUUGCCUGGGGAAGACAAGAAGUGAAGACAAUGAAAUGGUAGGCAUUGUGAGAGAGUGAGAAGGCACUCAGAGAAUGGAUGGCCGGCGUCCAGGAAGAGGGGUGAAUAUAUAAAUGAGUUACAAAUUCCACAUAAUCCAUGAGGAGAGGACCAGAGACCUGGAACCCAGAAAUGAAAUCUCUCUAUGCAUAUUUUUACUUUUAUUCACAUCCAAUUUUUCUUUCGAUUGUCAUUGAAAAAACAUCUUCUAGAGAGGAAACAAUAAGUGAAAUAUUAAUCGCAGAGUCAUACACAAAGUGCUGAGUAAAUGUUUACUGGAUGAAUAAAAGUUAACAGUCACAGUCCCUUCCCUCUAUCCCUACCAGAGACAUAUUGCAAAGAUUACCUAAUUCUAGCUCAUUGUUUAAAUCUCCUUGGACAAAAGAGAUCUAUAAUAAAUAAAAACAUUCUUACUAUUUAA
This is a long non-coding RNA of Felis catus (domestic cat), 2063 nucleotides long. RefSeq lists it as uncharacterized. The transcript is spliced from 4 exons. Lineage: Eukaryota; Metazoa; Chordata; Mammalia; Carnivora; Felidae. The record is from RefSeq and is a predicted model, not a curated record.